CCUACGGGUGGCUGCAGUGAGGAAUAUUGGUCAAUGGCCGGAAGGCUGAACCAGCCAUGCCGCGUGAAGGUCAGUGCCCUAUGGGCGUUAAACUUCUUUUGUGCGGGAGCAAUAAUGGUCACGUGUGGCCAGACGAGAGUACCGUACGAAUAAGCAUCGGCUAACUCCGUGCCAGCAGCCGCGGUAAUACGGGGGAUGCAAGCGUUAUCCGGUGUGAUUGGGUUUAAAGGGUGCGUAGGCUGUGAGGUAAUUCAGAGGUGAAAUUCCCCCGCUCAACGGGGUGAAGUGCAUGUGAUCCUGGGUUGCGGGAGUGCGGGUGACGUGGGAGGAAGGUGUGGGGUAGCGGUGAAAUGCAUAGAUAUCACACAGAACACCGAGUGCGAAGGCAUCUCACGAGUCCGCGAUUGACGCUGAUGCACGAAAGCGUGGGUAUCAAACAGGAUUAGAUACCCCUGUAGUC
RNAcentral lists this ribosomal RNA (460 nucleotides) under uncultured bacterium. RNAcentral describes it as "partial 16S ribosomal RNA". It matches the Rfam family "Bacterial small subunit ribosomal RNA", at positions 338 to 795 of the family's 1533-position model. The record is from RNAcentral.